RNAcentral lists this long non-coding RNA (558 nucleotides) under Gopherus agassizii (Agassiz's desert tortoise). RNAcentral's name for it is "lncRNA (ENSGAGG00000001589.1)". The record is from RNAcentral. Lineage: Eukaryota; Metazoa; Chordata; Testudines; Testudinidae.
GCCAGCCUGGCUCAGAGAACCCAGCAUGGCCCAGAUACUAAUGAUCUUAGGUAAAUGCUGCCGGCUGAGCCUGCCCUCCUGGCCCUGGGGAACAGGGUUCACCGGGGCCCUGGCACUCNGGUUCAACGGGGCCCUGGCACUCACCCCUCUUCUCUUCUCGCCCCCUUAGCUCUCGGCACCAUCCUGACCAAUGUGACCCAGGACAGACCGUUGCCUUGGCCUUGGCACCCAGAUCUGUGCCAAGCCUUUGGGUGCCAGGAGCCAGUGAAGCAGGACGAAUGCGAGAAGGAACUCUACAAUAUCCAGACCCACCUUUGCUGCAGGAACUUCACACACAGUAAGGUGAUGGAAAAACCCAGCCCGACUUCCGAAUGCUGUGGCUUCGAAGUCUAUGAUCAGAAAACGCAGGAGUGUUGCGAAGACCUCAGCAUAAAGCCCAAGCAGGACUGCAGACAAAUGGGCAAGAAAUCCGUCUCCUGCAGAUCAGGUGCGGAGAGAUGCGGCUCUCUCUCAGCAGCGCCGGGUGAAAAGCGUAAGUAGGAAUUGCUGGAGUGAGGA